Molecule: unclassified non-coding RNA, 200 nt
Filed under: Hevea brasiliensis (rubber tree)
Lineage: Eukaryota; Viridiplantae; Streptophyta; Magnoliopsida; Malpighiales; Euphorbiaceae
Source: RNAcentral
GGCGGUUGAGGGAGAAUAGUCACUGCCGGAGAAAUCCUACUUUUUGAAGAAUUACUUACUUCUCUGUCAUCCCUAUCCCAAACAAUUGGAGAAAACUUCCUCUUCUUCUCCACAGGAGUCCGUAUGCCAUUCUCUAUACUACCUUUGAAGCUUCACUAUCUUGAUUGACCAGUGAUUCAGACUCAAUUGCAUCAUCGGAC